Molecule: long non-coding RNA, 2453 nt
Organism: Cyprinus carpio carpio
Lineage: Eukaryota; Metazoa; Chordata; Actinopteri; Cypriniformes; Cyprinidae
Source: Ensembl
CCUUUUCUUCUCUGCCUCUGACCUUUCUCUGUCCUGAGAUCCAAACUGUCUUCCCAUAUCCAGCACUGUGUUGACAUGAACCCUCAGAAGGAUAAAGGUUUAAUCAUCUUUAAACAUGGAAUUUCUGCACUCACAGGAAUUCAUAAAUAUUUCCGUUAAUGACAUGGAAAUACAUUGAUUUCUCAAUAAACUAGUGAGAUUUGCUUUGUGUGGCAAUGGGGCGGAGAAGGGCAUGUAUCACCUCCCCCACGACUCCACAGCCACUUUAAAACACGCAGCGGCGGUUAUUCGGACUGACAGUUUGCUCUUAUUCACACACCCACUAAUUCUCAGUCAGACGAGUUCAUCUCCUGACAAAUAUCUGCAACAGUCCACACAGAGAACUGGAUUAGGAGUCAUUCUACUAGUACACUAAACAAUUUCCAGAAGACUAAACGACACCAUCAUCAGAUCAAACAACAGUUCCAGUGUUCAGCCAUGGUGUUGUUUGAGGAUCAAGAAUGUGGGGUCUGUUACCUGCGUUACUCCCGCAUCGACCGCGUUCCCAGAACUCUCCACUGCAACCACACAUUCUGCACCACCUGUCUGGAGACAAUGGGGCUGCAGUCCAGCGGCCUGCGCACCAUUCGCUGUCCCCUCUGUCGCCAGGUGACUUGUGUGGACCGUGGGCUCAGCUUGCAGGAGGCUCUGUUUGUCAAUAGCCAAGUGUGGGACAACAUUUGCGAUGAGCAAGAGGAGGAAGAGGACGAGAGAGAGCAGGAAAAAGAGGAAGAGGGGAAAAACACUAAUAUGCAGGUGCUGCCCUCAUCACAGGCUGAAUGUCCAGUGCGAAAACAAUACAGACCCAAACUCAGACUCCCGUCUUUCCUGAAGAAAAUGAGUUUUUCCAGGCACCCCGAAGAGAGGAUUGUUCCCACCUGCAAUGUGUAAGUCUUCAUCCUACUGUAAUGAUCGACAGCUCAGUUGAAACAAAAUGUAACAACAUACUGUAUAGAGAAAUGAUGUCAUGGAGAAGGAUUUCAUCAGAAGAGAUUUUUUGAAAAGGGCAACAGACACCAUAAACAAAGGAUUAGCAAUACAAACAAUAGACUUUCACCCGCUUUUUGCUUCGGUCAUAUGCUAAUUAUGCCUGGCGUACUGAAAAAGCGGGAGCAACAGUCAGUCCUGGACAAGGUUGUUUAAACAAAUUCAAACCCCUCCAUGUGCUUCUGCGACUACAUUUUCCACUUGAAUAGCCACAAGUCCGAAUCCUGCUCCUCCAUCUGAGGGGAACUUCUCAUUAGAUAUUCCACCCUUAAUCCGUCCCAGCUGCUGAGGCCGGAUUUGUUUCAGCUGUCCCGAGAGACAGAGGGUCCCAGAUGCGAAACAAGACUUUCAGAGCAGAUGGCAUCUUGUGAAAGAUUCAGAUCACCCCCACUUCUCUAAUAGACUCUUUUAAGUUAUUUUAAGCUUUGUUAUUUAUAUAACUUAUAAAUUAUUGUAAAUUAAAAAUUCUGAUUGCUGGUGUCUUUUUAAAUAGCACAUCCUUACAUCCUGUUUUACAAGACUAUCUAGAGCAGAGGGGGUUCAAACUUUUGAUAUAAGGACCCCAAAUAUGACAUUCCCCUUCUGAGGGACCUCUAUUUCCAAAGAAAAAAUAAAAAAUAAACUUUUUUUAAAAUAUAUUGUCAUUGUCAUUGUAUUUGAAAAAGAAUCAAAUAAAUGCAAUACCAUGACUUUUACUAGUAUUUUACUAGGAAAAUGAAAAAUUAUAUAAAAUUAAAUGCUGAAAUGUUAAUAUUAAAAACAUAAGUAUAUUCCAUACUGUUUGUAUAUUCACUGCAGUGAGUCUGCAACUGACCAAAAACACAAAGAAUGGAAUCACUCAGCCGUGUCAAUGGAUUAUACAUGCUUUUCAUUAAACAUAUGUCAUCUUUCAUGUAUAAUUUCGGAAAAGAGUUUGGGUUUACCAAAGUAUCUUAUAUUACAUUGGCAAAUACAGAGUCUUUACAUACACACCUGCAUGUGCUGUUUUCUGAGAAAAACUUUUAAAAUGUUGUCAUUAUAAAAGGUACAGAAAUAAACAUUUGCUAAACUCAAGCAAUAUAGAACUGCAAUACUGUAAAUGAUAUAAUAAUAAACUGAAAAAAAAAAAAAAAACAUUUAAAGAGAAUUCUUGACGUGAAUUCUUGGAAUGGAAACAAUAUGACAGGCUUGCAUUUAUGUUUUCUCAGAAGCCUUCAUGAGCAGAUAACUCAACCAAAACAAAGAUAUAAAGCGAUUAUAUAGCUAUGUUAUUAUGUUUCACAACGGAUUCUUCUACAGAAAUCAGCAUGUGCUAUAAAAUGACUAUCCAUGAGUCAAUUCACCAGUCUCUGUGAUUAUCAUAUACUGUAGAUAAUGUAGGUCAAACAGAUAACUGCUGAUUUAUGAUUCUCACCGAUGGUUGUUCAGAAGCCAAACAGAAAAUUUAC